AAUUAGUUGUUUAACUGUGGCAAAAGGAAGUUUGUGUUUUAUAAGCUGCAUAAAAUUAUUUUAUUUUUGAUUUACUUUAGAAUUAUUUAUUUUAUUUAGCAGUUAGUAUUUUGUUAAAAUGAAGGUUUUAGAAGAAUGAGACAUUAGAAGGGGAUAGGACACAGUGCCAGCAUCUGCGGUUAAUCUGUUUUCUUUGCUUUUAUCUAGAUUGUGUGUGUUUAUUUAUAAUUAAAAAUAGGUUAAAUUUUUUUAUUUAAAUUUUAAAUAUACAUUUUUUUAUAAAAUUUAUGUUUGUGACAGGGAUUAGAUACCCCAUUAAUGUAUUUUGUAAUAUUAUCUUAGUUUAGUAACUAAAAUGGUUUGGCAGUGAGUGAUUCUUUUUAGGGGAAGGUGUAGUGUAAAGGAUGUUCCGCCUAUUAAUUUACUUUUAUUAUGUUGGUGUAUAUCUGGUUUGAUAUUAUUGUUGAAUAGUAUAAUUUGUGUAGUGUUAGUUAAGCCAAGUCUAUGUGCUGCUUAUAAAAGUAUUUAUGCGUUACUUUGAUAAAGUUUUAGUUGUAAUACUAUUAUAUAUUUAGGACUUAAGAGUAAUAUCAAAUUAGUUUGUUGAUGUGAAAUAAGUUUAACUCAUGUACACACCGCCCGUCACCCUCGAUUAUUAUUGAGGUAAGUCGUAACAAGGUAACUUUAAAUGAAUUUGAAGUUGGU
RNAcentral lists this non-coding RNA (705 nucleotides) under Taenia solium (pork tapeworm). Lineage: Eukaryota; Metazoa; Platyhelminthes; Cestoda; Cyclophyllidea; Taeniidae. The record is from RNAcentral.